Molecule: long non-coding RNA, 745 nt
Organism: Anas platyrhynchos (mallard)
Lineage: Eukaryota; Metazoa; Chordata; Aves; Anseriformes; Anatidae
Source: RefSeq, a predicted model, not a curated record
UAGGGAACGAUCUGUGUCACAGCCAUGCCAGGGCCACCAUAUCUGUGCCCUCAGCCAAUGCCAGAGGAGAGUGAUCUGGGCCAUGAUGUGUGCUGCAAGAGCAGAAGUGUUGUUAAAAAAAUGCAAACCCCUCCACUUGCCAAGAUGCAUGUGUACUUAGCUAUUUACAGCUUUAAAUGAGAAAAUAAGCCUUCUUAGAAUUCUGAAAAUGUUGAAUUUGUUUUUCCCAGCUGGAGAGUGGGGUUUGCUUCAUUUUACAAAUAUGUCUAUGUCAGAAUGUUCUUCAGCGUUUUGCCAGGAAUCUGUGCUGCAUGCUACGGAGUUCAAUGGAAGGAAAGAGGAUUGACUGACUCUCCCUUUGGCAACUGCUGCAUCCACCUGAUGAUUGAAAUAGACAUGGUGAUUCUAGGACAUGAUUAUUCCUGUGGAGAGAAAAGAAGAACAGAUGAUUAAACAGUGAAUCCUAAGAUUUCUCCAUUCCUCUUUUUUUUUUGUAUAUUCCUAACAGUUGCACACAAAAGGUGACCUUCCUUCUGAAAGUUUUCUGCAUCAUAUGCCUAGGGCUGCUAUUUGGAUUCAUAUGAGUUCAGAUGACCAUCAUGCACAGAGAAAAUGACAAUUUGUUCCAUAAUUUCAGUAUUGGGGAUUUCAGUUUUCUGUUUAGAUUGUUAUUUUUUUUUCUCCAGUAAAAAUGGAAUACAGAAAACCAGGACAUAUUAAAUAAAUGGAAUUUCUUUCAAAGUGA